GGAGAAUAAAGCAUGAAAGGAAACUGUAGGGCUAGUUACCAGGCAACACAAAAUAUGUAACCUGAAACCCGACAAGCAUGUUAAUUUCCUAGCAAGCCUCCCAGAUGUCCUCACUUCAUGGCCAACACUCAGUUUCAGUUUCAAUUUGUUUAUUUGCCCUUCUUCAGUCACGAACGGUGGAGCUGAAAAUAUUGGAAGAGAGGAAAGAAGGUCAUUGCACCAGAAGGGAGCUGAACCAGGUGAGAAAGUGAGCCUCGGGAAGAGAGAAAGAGAAAAAGGAAAGCAAGAGGAGUCAAGGAUGAAGGGAAGGCGAUGUGGUGUGAAGAUGGUGAAUGGACUGAUGCCCGCAGAGGAUGGAGGAAGAGGCCACAAGCCAAGGGACACGCACAGUUUCUCGAAACUGGAAAAGGCAAGCAGAUUCUUCUCUAGAUCCUCCAAAAGGAACCAGUCCCACUGACACCUUGACAUUAGCCCAGUGAAACUGAUUUUGAGCUUAAGGCUUCUGGAGCCAUCAGAAAAAUACAUUUGUGUUGUCCUG
RNAcentral lists this long non-coding RNA (538 nucleotides) under Mustela putorius furo (domestic ferret). Its description in RNAcentral is "lncRNA (ENSMPUG00000024235.1)". Lineage: Eukaryota; Metazoa; Chordata; Mammalia; Carnivora; Mustelidae. The record is from RNAcentral.